UACGUAGGGUCCAAGCGUUGUUCGGAUUUACUGGGCGUAAAGGGCGCGUAGGCGGCGCGGUAAGUCACUUGUGAAAUCUCUGAGCUUAACUCGGAACGGCCAAGUGAUACUGCAGUGCUAGAGUGUGGAAGGGGCAAUCGGAAUUCUUGGUGUAGCGGUGAAAUGCGUAGAUAUCAAGAGGAACACCUGAGGUGAAGACGGGUUGCUGGGCCAACACUGACGCUGAGGCGCGAAAGCCAGGGGAGCAAACGGG
RNAcentral lists this ribosomal RNA (253 nucleotides) under uncultured bacterium. Its description in RNAcentral is "partial 16S ribosomal RNA". It matches the Rfam family "Bacterial small subunit ribosomal RNA", at positions 524 to 776 of the family's 1533-position model. The record is from RNAcentral.